This is a non-coding RNA of Gossypium hirsutum (cotton), 144 nucleotides long. Lineage: Eukaryota; Viridiplantae; Streptophyta; Magnoliopsida; Malvales; Malvaceae. The record is from Rfam.
UGUCAAAAAUUUAACCAUUUGUAUUGUUAAAAAUUGGCAUGAUUGGUGAAAUAAUCAGACAAUGACACAUAGCGUGUCAUAUGUACCUAAUGCUAACGUAUCGAGACCAGCUUUUAAUAGUAAAAAUGUAUGAAAUUUUUAACA